This 358-nucleotide unclassified non-coding RNA is filed under the name soil metagenome. RNAcentral's name for it is "partial contains 5.8S ribosomal RNA, internal transcribed spacer 2, and large subunit ribosomal RNA". The stretch from base 1 to 120 matches the Rfam family "5.8S ribosomal RNA", at positions 35 to 154 of the family's 154-position model. The record is from RNAcentral.
GAUGAAGAACGCAGCGAAAUGCGAUAAGUAAUGUGAAUUGCAGAAUUCAGUGAAUCAUCGAAUCUUUGAACGCACAUUGCGCCCGUCAGUAUUCUGGCGGGCAUGCCUGUUCGAGCGUCAUUACGCCCCUCAAGUCCCCUGUGGACUUGGUGUUGGGGAUCGGCGAGGCUGGUUUUCCAGCACAGCCGUCCCUUAAAUUAAUUGGCGGUCUCGCCGUGGCCCUCCUCUGCGCAGUAGUAAAGCACUCGCAACAGGAGCCCGGCGCGGUCCACUGCCGUAAAACCCCCCAACUUUUUAUAGUUGACCUCGAAUCAGGUAGGACUACCCGCUGAACUUAAGCAUAUCAAUAAGCGGAGGA